AUGUACGUUCUGCCCACUGUUCCCACAGCGGGAGCCAUUUUCAAGGGCGCAGCCUUGAGACAGCGAUAUGUCGCUGAGACCAUCUGGACAGUAUUCGUGACUGAACCCAGAUGAGAAUACAAAUGCAUCCUAUUCUGCAAGAGACCAAAAGAAGAGGCAGAAACCACAUUUCUCCUGCAAAAUCCCCACUUGAACGGGGGAAAAUUGGUUCCACUAUUGACAAGAUAAACCAAAAUUAUACACAAUCACACACAUUUUUUAAGGGACACGGGUUCGAGCCCUGGUCUGGGAAGAUUCCACAUGCCGCGGAGCAACUAGGCCCGUGAGCCACAAUUACUGAGCCUGCGCGUCUGGAGCCUGUGCUCUGCAACAAGAGAGGCCGCGAUAGUGAGAGGCCUGCGCACCGCGAUGAAGAGUGGCCCCCGCUUGCCACAACUAGAGAAAGCCCUCGCACAGAAACGAAGACCCAACACAGCCAAAAAUAAAUAAAUAAAUAAACUUAUUUUAAAAAAAAGAAAAA
Molecule: long non-coding RNA, 520 nt
Organism: Balaenoptera ricei (Rice's whale)
Lineage: Eukaryota; Metazoa; Chordata; Mammalia; Artiodactyla; Balaenopteridae
Exons: 3
Source: RefSeq, a predicted model, not a curated record